RNAcentral lists this ribosomal RNA (468 nucleotides) under uncultured bacterium. RNAcentral's name for it is "partial 16S ribosomal RNA". It matches the Rfam family "Bacterial small subunit ribosomal RNA", at positions 28 to 507 of the family's 1533-position model. The record is from RNAcentral.
GAUGAACGCUGGCGGCGUGCUUAACACAUGCAAGUCGAACGGAAAGGCCCAAGCUUGCUUGGGUCCUCGAGUGGCGAACGGGUGAGUAACACGUGGGUGAUCUGCCCUGCACUUCGGGAUAAGCCUGGGAAACUGGGUCUAAUACCGGAUAGGACGAUGGUUUGGAUGCCAUUGUGGAAAGUUUUUUCGUUGUGGGAUGAGCUCGCGGCCUAUCAGCUUGUUGGUGGGGUAAUGGCCUACCAAGGCGUCGACGGGUAGCCGGCCUGAGAGGGGGUACGGCGACAUGGGGCAUGGGGUAUGGGCCAGGCUCCUGCGGGGGGCAGCAGGGGGGAAUAUUGCACAAUGGGCGCAAGCCUGAUGCAGCGACGCCGCGUGGGGGAUGACGGCCUUCGGGUUGUAAACUCCUUUCGCUAGGGACGAAGCGUUUUUGUGACGGUACCGGGAGAAGAAGCACCGGCUAACUACGUG